RNAcentral lists this ribosomal RNA (492 nucleotides) under uncultured bacterium. Its description in RNAcentral is "partial 16S ribosomal RNA". It matches the Rfam family "Bacterial small subunit ribosomal RNA", at positions 29 to 507 of the family's 1533-position model. The record is from RNAcentral.
AGUGAACGCUGGCGGUAGGCCUAACACAUGCAAGUCGAACGGCAGCACAGUAAAAGCUUGCUCUUACGGGUGGCGAGUGGCGGACGGGUGAGGAAUACAUCGGAAUCUACUUUUUCGUGGGGGAUAACGUAGGGAAACUUACGCUAAUACCGCAUACGACCUACGGGUGAAAGCAGGGGAUCUUCGGACCUUGCGCGAUUGAAUGAGCCGAUGUCGGAUUAGCUAGUUGGCGGGGUAAAGGCCCACCAAGGCGACGAUCCGUAGCUGGUCUGAGAGGAUGAUCAGCCACACUGGAACUGAGACACGGUCCAGACUCCUACGGGAGGCAGCAGUGGGGAAUAUUGGACAAUGGGCGCAAGCCUGAUCCAGCCAGACCGCGUGGGUGAAGAAGGCCUUCGGGUUGUAAAGCCGUUUUGUUGGGAAAGAAAAGCAGCAGGUUAAUACCCCGCUGUUCUGACGGUACCCAAAGAAUAAGCACCGGCUAACUUCGUG